CAAAGCAGCUUCUUGUACGAGUCGAAUUGGACAGCGGAGAUUGAUGCACUACUGCUGACUACUGUUGUGCGUAUGAAAAAAUUGGAGUGGUAUUAUUAUUCCUAUGGAAUUUUUACUUGAAGCUCAGCUUGACCAUUGGUUUGCAUUUCACUCCCUUCCAACUUUAUGGGCGGCUACAGAUGUUGGAGCGUCGUUACCUGACUUUCAAAAAGGUGGUGGCCGUUCCCGGUACUUUCUGGGACGUCUGCUCAAACACUGUUACGGCACCCGGACAAUGUUUGGAGCCACAUUUUCGAGUUGAAUCCCUUGGCAAGAGCCCACUACCACAAAGGCGUGCCCGAGUUUUGACAGUCGGUUAUUUUCUUUCGGUCUGGACCUGGAUGAGAUCAAGCCCAAGAUUAAGAAGGUCAUCAUAAUUUCCGACAAACCUUGAGCUUGAAGAUGCACUACUAGAUAAAUUAUCUUUAGGAUUUCUUAUUUAACUUGUGUAAACUCCUAUAAUUAAUCACCAUUUAGAUAGGUGUAGCUUUGGAGAAAAUCAUAUUUGGAUGAAGGUAACUGUGGCCUCGGAGAGGAGUGUUUUGUUUUCUUCAGUUUAAAUUAUCCUAGCUGGUUAUUUCUUCAAAAA
Molecule: long non-coding RNA, 628 nt
Organism: Salvia splendens (bonfire salvia)
Lineage: Eukaryota; Viridiplantae; Streptophyta; Magnoliopsida; Lamiales; Lamiaceae
Exons: 2
Source: RefSeq, a predicted model, not a curated record